UUGAUUGGUCUUUUCAGCCCUCAAAGUAAAGUCGCUCGCGUUGGGUUUAUGUAUUAGUUUAGUCUGCUGUGAACGUUUCUAGAAUCCGCAUUUACUUUGUAAUCACGUCGGUUAUCAUGCCCCGUUUUUAGUAAUUUGUUUUCAGUGUUGGCAAGGAGAGUCUGUUUCCUAGCUGCUGCUUUGAACGCAUCUCAGCUGUUUGGAAGACAUUCAACGGGCAUUGCUCCAGCAGAUUCCUCUGAAGCCCUGGGUAGAAGGCCAGAUUCCUGCUUCUGUGCAGUGGUAGUCCUGAAGCUGGUGACAGAUCUAGCCGGGCUGGAUUCUUGCUUUUGUGCAGUGGACGACUCCUUCAGUGUUCACUUCCCAGGCUUGCAGGGACCGGAGGUGUCUGGACCGCCCCUUGCUGUGCUGGGUUUUGGUUUCAUCCUGUUGAACGUGCUGAGCCUUGGACGGAGUGGGCAAGGGGCAGCUGAUCUUUGCCUCAUGUGUGUGCAGAAGCACCAGUAUGCCCGAAUCUUGAUCUCCGGGUUUCUGUUGGUGGCUGUGGGGUUGCUGGUAACCGUGGUGGGCUUCUGGUUCCCUCUCUGUAGUCCAAAGCUGGAGUACAAGAACUGUAGCUUCUUGCCGAUGCAGAUCCUGGGCCUAGUGGCGGUGGUGGUGGGGCUUGGUUUACUUAUCACAGGGUGCAUUAGAAGGAAGCAAAACUUCAAUGAAAUGGAAGAAAACCAGGCUCUACCUGAGGGGCUCCCCAAUCACUCUGAGCCACACCACAUCAUAGUAGAAGAUCCUUUUGCUCUUUUCAGGCGACUCUGUCGUCAUAUUUCCAACACCACCCCCAGCAUAUUUUACUGAAGCGCCACCUUUGAGAACUGGAAACCAUGGCAACAUCUCUAUUGGCUAUGAAAGCCCACCACCUUACUACAGUACCUUCAAUCAAAGGGUUGGUACCGGUUUAGGGGAGGAAGAAUCUGUCUACACCAUUAGAGUGUCCAGGGCUUCUAUUGUGGGUUUGCCUUCUCAUCAUAGCUUCUUACCUGAACUACCACCGCCCUACCAAAAGAGGGAAUCUGCAUCCCAGGACCAGCAGGCGGUCUGUCCUUGACUACUGAAAGUUGCUUCAUUUUCUACAUAAACACUUAGAUAUUUAAUAUAUAGUUAUAUUUUAAUGUAAUGUUUUGUGCCGUAUGCUUCUAACCAGGGGUGCUGGAUGGGUUUGAGAAGGGAGGACUGAAAGACCAGAGCAUGGACAACUGUACAUGUUAAAAAUAAUAAUGAAAGGGAGUAGGGGAUCUGAAAUAAUGGGAGAGUGUCUGUUUGUUCCUCUUGAUUUAAAGCAGUUUCAAAUUAUCUUGCGACCUUGGAACCUAAAUUCUCCUGAUUUCAGACUGGAUUUAACCCCUGUGGCCAUCCUAUUAACCCUUGUGUUGAACCCACAACCUGUACCACUACUGAUUGGAAGGAAGACAUGGCUUCUUAUCAAACACUUAAAUCAGGCGAGAGAAAUUGUAUCCAAUGUGGUUAAAUACUGACAGCAAUUUAAACCCAACGAUAAAUUACCCACAUUUACUGUAUUUUAUUUGUAGUGAAUUUUGGUGGUAGUAUCAAUGUAUCCGUUUAUCACAGACAUAAUUUAUGAGUAAAUUGUAUGAUUGAAUUUAUUAGUGCAGUAAGCGGAUGUUUACAGCAUUUCUUAUUCAAGAGAUAACAAACACCCGUACAGAAACUGGAGUCGUCCACCUUCUGUGUAAAGUUACUAGAGUUCUGCACAGGUCGUUGACAAUUCAAGUUGGGCCAGUAAUACAUUAAUGUGUCAAAGCAUACAACAAUAACAUUAUUUUGCAAUGAAUGCUAGUGUAAUGCAGUGCCUAAAGACCAAGGAACAGUCCCUUAAAUAAACAAGUUAGUGGGGGCGGGGGGUAGAUUUCACCCCACAACACUGAAGUUCUGCCAGAUCAGUUACAAGAGCCAGCUUCUGUGCAAAGAUAGAUGAGACAUGUCGGAGAAGAUUUAGGAUGGAGUAAUCCAUGUUCAGUCUGUGUCUCUGGGCCAUUUGUCCGAUAGCAUUCACGUUUUUGCAACAUAGAUCAGUGCAUUAUCAGUUGCAUCAUACACUGCAGCAGCAAGAAUGGUUAAUGGCUCCUUGCUUCCUGUAUUACACACAAGUACUGAAUUGCUUUUUAGAGGGUUCACAUUUAAAAGAAACAUCAUUUAUUUUAUUUUAUUUUGUUGUGCUUUGAUCUAUUGGAUGGUGACAGCUCAAGAAAGGAACGAUAUGAAACACAUGUUACACCAGUUAAGUCUCCUUAAUAGCACUUGACAGUUUAAAGGAAUGAAAAUAUUAGGACUGGUAUUGUCUUCUGCAAAGGAAAUUCAUCUUGAUUGCCUCUUCAUACUCCUCCAGUACAUAAUGUAGAUAUUAUAAAGGAGUAUUGAAGGGGAUCUUGGGGUGGAAACAUACAAGCAUGCAGAUGUAUUAAAUAUUUGAGAGGGCAUUCAUGCGUCAUGGUUAUGAAGCUACAGCUCUGGCAGUGCAUGUUAGUCUCUUGUGUGUGUUUACCUCGAUGGGGAGGUUAAUGCAGUCAUUGGAAUUGUGUUUUUUGAAUAUCACCAAAUGUGUUUUAAGUACAAUAAAGGUUUAAACCCA
RNA transcript from Acipenser ruthenus (sterlet), 2644 nucleotides. It is a transcript of the gene named transmembrane protein 171-like, with no coding region annotated. The record is from RefSeq and is a predicted model, not a curated record. Lineage: Eukaryota; Metazoa; Chordata; Actinopteri; Acipenseriformes; Acipenseridae. The transcript is spliced from 4 exons.